CUGGAGGUAUCAGAAGUGCGAAUGCUGACAUAAGUAACGAUAAAGCGGGUGAAAAGCCCGCUCGCCGGAAGACCAAGGGUUCCUGUCCAACGUUAAUCGGGGCAGGGUGAGUCGACCCCUAAGGCGAGGCCGAAAGGCGUAGUCGAUGGGAAACAGGUUAAUAUUCCUGUACUUGGUGUUACUGCGAAGGGGGGACGGAGAAGGCUAUGUUGGCCGGGCGACGGUUGUCCCGGUUUAAGCGUGUAGGCUGGUUUUCCAGGCAAAUCCGGAAAAUCAAGGCUGAGGCGUGAUGACGAGGCACUGCGGUGCUGAAGCAACAAAUGCCCUGCUUCCAGGAAAAGCCUCUAAGCAUCAGGUAACAUCAAAUCGUACCCCAAACCGACACAGGUGGUCAGGUAGAGAAUACCAAGGCGCUUGAGAGAACUCGGGUGAAGGAACUAGGCAAAAUGGUGCCGUAACUUCGGGAGAAGGCACGCUGAUAUGUAGGUGAAGUCCCUCGCGGAUGGAGCUGAAAUCAGUCGAAGAUACCAGCUGGCUGCAACUGUUUAUUAAAAACACAGCACUGUGCAAACACGAAAGUGGACGUAUACGGUGUGACGCCUGCCCGGUGCCGGAAGGUUAAUUGAUGGGGUUAGCGCAAGCGAAGCUCUUGAUCGAAGCCCCGGUAAACGGCGGCCGUAACUAUAACGGUCCUAAGGUAGCGAAAUUCCUUGUCGGGUAAGUUCCGACCUGCACGAAUGGCGUAAUGAUGGCCAGGCUGUCUCCACCCGAGACUCAGUGAAAUUGAACUCGCUGUGAAGAUGCAGUGUACCCGCGGCAAGACGGAAAGACCCCGUGAACCUUUACUAUAGCUUGACACUGAACAUUGAGCCUUGAUGUGUAGGAUAGGUGGGAGGCUUUGAAGUGUGGACGCCAGUCUGCAUGGAGCCGACCUUGAAAUACCACCCUUUAAUGUUUGAUGUUCUAACGUUGACCCGUAAUCCGGGUUGCGGACAGUGUCUGGUGGGUAGUUUGACUGGGGCGGUCUCCUCCUAAAGAGUAACGGAGGAGCACGAAGGUUGGCUAAUCCUGGUCGGACAUCAGGAGGUUAGUGCAAUGGCAUAAGCCAGCUUGACUGCGAGCGUGACGGCGCGAGCAGGUGCGAAAGCAGGUCAUAGUGAUCCGGUGGUUCUGAAUGGAAGGGCCAUCGCUCAACGGAUAAAAGGUACUCCGGGGAUAACAGGCUGAUACCGCCCAAGAGUUCAUAUCGACGGCGGUGUUUGGCACCUCGAUGUCGGCUCAUCACAUCCUGGGGCUGAAGUAGGUCCCAAGGGUAUGGCUGUUCGCCAUUUAAAGUGGUACGCGAGCUGGGUUUAGAACGUCGUGAGACAGUUCGGUCCCUAUCUGCCGUGGGCGCUGGAGAACUGAGGGGGGCUGCUCCUAGUACGAGAGGACCGGAGUGGACGCAUCACUGGUGUUCGGGUUGUCAUGCCAAUGGCACUGCCCGGUAGCUAAAUGCGGAAGAGAUAAGUGCUGAAAGCAUCUAAGCACGAAACUUGCCCCGAGAUGAGUUCUCCCUGACUCCUUGAG
RNAcentral lists this ribosomal RNA (1569 nucleotides) under Escherichia coli. Its description in RNAcentral is "partial 23S ribosomal RNA". It matches the Rfam family "Bacterial large subunit ribosomal RNA", at positions 1273 to 2825 of the family's 2925-position model. The record is from RNAcentral. Lineage: Bacteria; Pseudomonadati; Pseudomonadota; Gammaproteobacteria; Enterobacterales; Enterobacteriaceae.